This 485-nucleotide ribosomal RNA is filed under the name uncultured bacterium. Its description in RNAcentral is "partial 16S ribosomal RNA". It matches the Rfam family "Bacterial small subunit ribosomal RNA", at positions 28 to 523 of the family's 1533-position model. The record is from RNAcentral.
GACGAACGCUGGCGGCGUGCUUAACACAUGCAAGUCGAACGGUGAAAGCGGAGCUUGCUCCGCUGGAUCAGUGGCGAACGGGUGAGUAACACGUGGGCAACCUGCCCUUCACUUCGGGAUAACUCCGGGAAACCGGGGCUAAUACCGGAUAAGACCUCUGCGGGCAUCCGCGGAGGUGGAAAGUUUUUCGGUGAAGGAUGGGCCGGCGGCCUAUCAGCUUGUUGGUGAGGUAGUGGCUCACCAAGGCGACGACGGGUAGCCGGCCCGAGGGGGCCACAGGCCACGCUGUGACGAGGACACGCCCCAGACUCCUACGGGAGGCAGCAGUGGGGAAUAUUGCGCAAGGGGCGAAAGCCUGACGCAGCAACGCCGCGUGCGGGAUGACGGCCUUCGGGUUGUAAACCGCUUUCAGCAGGGAAGAAGCCGCAAGGUGACGGUACCUGCAGAAGAAGCACCGGCUAACUACGUGCCAGCCGCCGCGGUAA